AUGCCGUCUAUGCUCCAACGCAUCAUCGCCGGGCUCACCGGCGAGUUCUCCAUGAAGGACCUCAGGCCACUGCACUUCUUCCUCGGCAUCAAGGUCACGCGCACUUCCGUGGGGUUCUUCCUCUCUCAACAACAGUAUAAGGAGGACGUGCUUGAUCGCGCUGGCAUGGACACCUGUCGGCCCUCUCCCACGCACGUCGACACCAAGGGCAAGCUUCCCGCUGUCGACGGGCCCCGUGUGGAUGACGCCUCCGCCUACCGCAGCACCACAGGCACGCUGCAGUACCUCACCAUCACCAGGCCUGAGAUCGCCUACGCUGUGCAGCAGGUCUGCCUGCAUAUGCAUGACCCGCGCGAGUGCCAUCUCGCCUUGGUCAAGCACGUUCUUCGGUAUGUCCGUGGCACGACACAUCUCGGGCUGCAUCUGCGCGCCCCGCGCUCACUGGAUCUUCACGCCUUCGCCGAUGCCGACUGGGUCGGCUGCCCCGACACCCGGCGCUCCACCUCCGGCUUCUGCAUCUACCUCGGCGACACCCUCGUUUCCUGGUCUUCCAAGCGCCAGGCAACGGUGUCUCGAUCCAGCGCGGAGGUCGAGUACCGCGGCGUCGCCAACGCUGUGGCGGAGUGUGUGUGGCUGCGUCAACUCCUCGGCGAGCUCUUCCUGCCAGUCGACAAGGCGACCAUCGUCUAUUGCGACAAUGUGUCCGCGGUGUACCUCUCCGUCAACCCCGUCCACCAUCGCCGCACGAAGCAUGUGGAGCUUGACAUCCACUUUGUGCGCGAGCGCGUGGCCCUCAGCGAGUUCCGCGUCCUUCACAUCCCCACGCUCCAGCAGCUCGCCGACAUCAUGACCAAGGGGCUGCCCACGGAUGCCUUCUGCAACUUUCGUUCCAGUCUUUGCGUCGCCGCUGCCGACGUUCCAGGCAGUAGUAUGCCAUCGUGUACGCCCUCUGUAUAG
Molecule: ribosomal RNA, 957 nt
Filed under: Triticum aestivum (bread wheat)
Lineage: Eukaryota; Viridiplantae; Streptophyta; Magnoliopsida; Poales; Poaceae
Description: partial small subunit ribosomal RNA
Source: RNAcentral